GGUGAGGUAAAGCACCACCUCUGCUCCCACCCACCAGAUCCUGGUCCAUCCUCACAUUAACGCGCGGCGCCCGUCAGGCAGCUCCAGUGUCUUUCACCUAAAUUACAGCCACGACCACCGGGAGCCAUCGGCGUUCCUCAGACAGGAUGGGCCUCCUGCCGCUGUUCACCUCCACGCUCCUGUUCAGCUGGACAACUUUGAAUGCAGCUUUAAAAAUAACAAAAGUGGACCUGUCCAUCGAGCCCAGUGCUGCUGUGUAUAGAGACACCAACGUGGCUUUGAGAUGCAAGGCCGAGGUUCUCGCCUUCGGGACGGAGGCACUGAAUCGUGUGUACACCAUAUACAAAGGUGACAGUGUAAUCUACAACAAGACAACCAGCUCCUCUGAGGAUUUGCUCUACCACCUGCCUCAGGCCAGAGUCUCCAACAAUGGCAAGUACAAGUGCAAGAUAAGCAUCAUGGGAGAGGAGAAGGCCAGUGAAGCUGCAACACUCACAGUGGAAGGCAUGUCAACGCCCAUUCUCCGCUUCAACAAAGCUAAUAUCACUGAGGGGGAAUCAGUAACAGCCACAUGUUUAGCACCAGGAGAGACGGGUUCCCUUUUGUUCAGCUUCUAUGAUAACUCCAAGGAAGUCGAAAAUGCCAGGGUGACCUCCAACGAACUCACGUUUGUCCCUAAAGGCGUUGGGAACCACAUUAUUCACUGCUCCUACUUGGUCUUCAUCAUGCCAAACUCAUUCAAGUCCCAAACAAGCAACACAGUCACUCUUACCGUUGAAGAACUUUCCAUCGAACCAGUCCUGAAGAUUUCCCCUCAGGAUAAUGUCUACGAAGGUGACACUGUCAACAUCACUUGCUCGGUUAGUAAUGUUACGAAGGACUACCAAGCUGGAGAGCUCUUGCUGAGUCAGGACACCGAACUACUCAAGAGUGGAAAAACAUCUAUCCAUGUUAGCUGGACUGCACAUGCAAGAACCCCAAUGCUUACCAUUAAAUGCCGGCUGUAUCUGAGAGAUGUAGUAAAAGUCGUCAACAAGACAGUUUCAGUGAGCGAGCUGUUCUCCGUGCCCACUCUCAAGAUGUCUGCUCUCGAAGUCUUCCAAGAAGAUGAAAUUAGUCUAACAUGCAGAAGUGAGAAACUGUCUUAUGAUAGACUUGAAGGAGAAUUCCUCAUUUACAGUCUUGAACCUUUUGACUACCAUAUGGUUCAAAAAGGGAAUGGAGUAUUCGUUGGUAAAGCCAAGACAAUUGAUUUCAACUAUACAUGUACAGCUGCUGCAAAGGGCAUCAAGAAGAAGAGCAAUGUGCUGACAAUUCAUCCUAAAGUUCCUGUCUCGACUCCAAAGAUCUGGGUCUCUGGCAGUGCAAUCCUCGGGAGGAAAGUUGAAAUCUUCUGUCUGUCAGACACAGGCACCCCACCCAUUACAUACACCCUGUUGAAGGCUAACAAACAAAACCAAAUUGCCAUUGUUCAUGAGUUCAAUAAAGCUGCUAACUUUACAAUCGUCAUCAAUGAACCUGGAAGACUAAACCACUACCUUUGCACAGCAAGUAAUGGGGACAGAGCGCCUGAGCUAAGUGAUAAACUCCAAACAGCUGUCAUUGAGCCAAUGACUGAAGCAUAUCUGAUGGUCGUUCCUGACGUCGAUGACAUUUCCGAAGGACAUACGGUCAUCCUCAUUUGUUCCUUCUUGGGCACACCACCUGUAACAGUAAGGUGGCUCCGGGACAGUGAUGGUCUAAAUCCACUGAAGACCACAACCACAAAUAUUAACACCACAAACUACGAAUUCGUUGUGAAUAAGGAACACACCGACAAUUACUACUGCCAGGCUGAGAACCGAGCCAACUCUGUUGAAAGUAAUAAAAUCAACUUAGUAGUCGGCAUGGCAAUGUGGAAGAAAUUACUGAUUCCUGGGACCAUAAUACUGGUGGUUUCCUCACUCGUGAUGGUGGGCUUUAUUCUGUUCACAAGAUCCAGGAGAGGAACUGGUGAAGGGUGUUCAGACUUAUCAGGUGGUUCAGACGAUGCGGCAGAGUUUGGAUGCAGCAGAUUAUAGGAAGUAUUUGGUGUGUUUUGCAUGUUUGUAGACAGAAACAUAAUUUUUCUUUCAACAUUAUAUUCCUUGUUCCGGUAGUGCAUAUUUAUAUGGAGCCAAAAGGGUCACGUGGAUUUAAGAUUCAAUAAAUACAAUCCUAGUGAAAUAAAUAAUUGUUUCACUUAUAUUUACUAUUGUUGUCAUGCAGGGUAUUAUACAUUAUUUAUUAUUUAUUUACCUUUUAAAUAUAGCCACUUUUGUUAACGGCCGAAAGAUGAAUUGUUUCAUGAUAAACCACAGAACAGAAACCGUGAAAUAAUUAGAUAAAUAAUCACUUAGAUUUGCAUAGAACCAACAUUUUCAAGAAUUGCAUCUUGUUAAUUCUGUUGUAAUAAUAAUAAUAAUAAUAAUAAUAAUAAUAUAUAAAAUAUUUAGAAGCAGCUGCUUCUUGUCUUUGUUCAAGAUGUCUAUCUUAAAAUCUCAAAUGAGUUUUAUGGGUUUUGGGAUGUAUUUACUGAAUGAUGAGACUUUUGCUUUAAUUAGUAAACAUUGGGGUUUUUUUCAUUUUAUUAUUAUACAUGAAUUAAAGCUAUCAGACCAUUGCUGAAUAAAUAUUAACCAAAGAAAACAACGUUCUACAGUUGUUCUGUGGUUGACUACCUCACUGAAUCAGUUUGCAUAUCGUGAACACGGUAUGCUGAUUUUUGUUUUUACUUGAGUCAGUUCCUGUUUCAAGUACUUUCUUGUCAAGUUGUUUCUUAUUUGUCACAGUUAUGUUUUUCUUAUUGGAACCUUUUUCUGGAGUCAAUUUAGAGUAAAGGUAGAUUUAUACUGAUGCAUUUUUGUUCCAAGACUUAUGGAUAAGAGAGAAAUAUGGGCGGAAACCACAAUUACGCGAUUACAAUGUCUACAACAUGCAAAACACCUUGUCUAGUUUCUUUACCAUUUAUCUGAAGUGUUUUUCUUGACGUCACGUUUGCCUGCAGCUGACUUUAUUUUCACCAUUUCUCAGAAAGCCUGCGAGCCCUAAAUCAGAUGACUCUUUAACAGUGACUCUAACCCACGACACAGAGGUUUAUAAUGCAGCCACAGACGCAGCGUCGUUCUGUGAUG
This is an RNA transcript of Xiphophorus hellerii (green swordtail), 3152 nucleotides long. It is a transcript of the gene named platelet and endothelial cell adhesion molecule 1b, with no coding region annotated. The transcript is spliced from 11 exons. NCBI's taxonomy places the organism in Eukaryota, Metazoa, Chordata, Actinopteri, Cyprinodontiformes, Poeciliidae. The record is from RefSeq and is a predicted model, not a curated record.